This 490-nucleotide ribosomal RNA is filed under the name uncultured bacterium. Its description in RNAcentral is "partial 16S ribosomal RNA". It matches the Rfam family "Bacterial small subunit ribosomal RNA", at positions 30 to 507 of the family's 1533-position model. The record is from RNAcentral.
AUUGAACGCUGGCGGCAGGCCUAACACAUGCCAGUCGAACGGUAACAGGAAACAGCUUGCUGUUUCGCUGACGAGUGGCGGACGGGUGAGUAAUGUCUGGGAAACUGCCUGAUGGAGGGGGAUAACUACUGGAAACGGUAGCUAAUACCGCAUAACGUCGCAAGACCAAAGAGGGGGACCCUCGGGCCUCUUGCCAUCGGAUGUGCCCAGAUGGGAUUAGCUUGUUGGUGGGGUAACGGCUCACCAAGGCGACGAUCCCUAGCUGGUCUGAGAGGAUGACCAGCCACACUGGAACUGAGACACGGUCCAGACUCCUACGGGAGGCAGCAGUGGGGAAUAUUGCACAAUGGGCGCAAGCCUGAUGCAGCCAUGCCGCGUGUAUGAAGAAGGCCUUCGGGUUGUAAAGUACUUUCAGCGGGGAGGAAGGGAGUAAAGUUAAUACCUUUGCUCAUUGACGUUACCCGCAGAAGAAGCACCGGCUAACUCCGUA